This 868-nucleotide ribosomal RNA is filed under the name uncultured bacterium. RNAcentral describes it as "bacterial SSU rRNA". It matches the Rfam family "Bacterial small subunit ribosomal RNA", at positions 61 to 885 of the family's 1533-position model. The record is from RNAcentral.
GUCGAACGCUUUGUCUUUAACUGAUAUGAAGAGCUUGCUCUGAUUUGAUUCCAUUUGACAAAGAGUGGCGAACGGGUGAAUAACACGUGGGUAACCUACCUCUUAGCAGGGGAUAACAUUUGGAAACAAGUGCUAAUACCGUAUAAUACCAACAACCGCAUGGUUGUUGGUUGAAAGAUGGUUCUGCUAUCACUAAGAGAUGGACCCGCGGUGCAUUAGCUAGUUGGUAAGGUAACGGCUUACCAAGGCAAUGAUGCAUAGCCGAGUUGAGAGACUGAUCGGCCACAAUGGGACUGAGACACGGCCCAUACUCCUACGGGAGGCAGCAGUAGGGAAUCUUCCACAAUGGGCGCAAGCCUGAUGGAGCAACGCCGCGUGUGUGAUGAAGGGUUUCGGCUCGUAAAACACUGUUAUAAGAGAAGAACGGCACUGAGAGUAACUGUUCAGUGUGUGACGGUAUCUUACCAGAAAGGAACGGCUAAAUACGUGCCAGCAGCCGCGGUAAUACGUAUGUUCCAAGCGUUAUCCGGAUUUAUUGGGCGUAAAGCGAGCGCAGACGGUUAUUUAAGUCUGAAGUGAAAGCCCUCAGCUCAACUGAGGAAUGGCUUUGGAAACUGGAUGACUUGAGUGCAGUAGAGGAAAGUGGAACUCCAUGUGUAGCGGUGAAAUGCGUAGAUAUAUGGAAGAACACCAGUGGCGAAGGCGGCUUUCUGGACUGUAACUGACGUUGAGGCUCGAAAGUGUGGGUAGCAAACAGGAUUAGAUACCCUGGUAGUCCACACCGUAAACGAUGAGUGCUAGAUGUUCGAGGGUUUCCGCCCUUGAGUGUCGCAGCUAACGCAUUAAGCACUCCGCCUGGGGAGUACGA